Long non-coding RNA from Cyprinus carpio carpio, 497 nucleotides. The record is from Ensembl. Lineage: Eukaryota; Metazoa; Chordata; Actinopteri; Cypriniformes; Cyprinidae.
GCCGGAUCAGAAGACUACGUUCGCUCAGGAGUCAGGAUUGCAGCAGGAGAAAGAACACAACAACAACUUCUGGAAAAGAAAACUCAACAGAAAGUAAACAACAAAAAUGCACAGGUGCUGGCUCUUGUAACCUGGGUUACAUCCUCCCUCACGGAAUAUAUGCACGUCCCUGUGCAUUUACACAUCGAUGAUAGGGGGAACCACAGACUCUUCAAAGGAGCACUCGACUGCCUUACUUAAGCCUUGCAAUAAGGACUGAAACACUGUGGUGCUGGCUCUUGUAACCUGGGUUACAUCCUCCCUCACGGAAUAUAUGCACGUCCCUGUGCAUUUACACAUCGAUGAUAGGGGGAACCACAGACUCUUCAAAGGAGCACUCGACUGCCUUACUUAAGCCUUGCAAUAAGGACUGAAACACUGUGACUCUUGUUGCAACCAAGGCUCCUGGCUGGCUCGCCAAAUUUUCCCUUGUAACACCCGCGAAGAAUGCACGGAAG